Molecule: ribosomal RNA, 480 nt
Filed under: uncultured bacterium
Lineage: Bacteria
Description: partial 16S ribosomal RNA
Rfam family: Bacterial small subunit ribosomal RNA
Source: RNAcentral
GAUGAACGCUAGCGGCAGGCCUAACACAUGCCAGUCGAGGGGUAGAAGGAGCUUGCUCCUUUGAGACCGGCGCACGGGUGCGUAACGCGUAUGCAAUCUACCUUGUACAGGGGAAUAGCCCAGAGAAAUUUGGAUUAAUGCCCCAUAGUAUAUAACCUUCGCAUGUUGGUUAUAUUAAAGUUCCAACGGUACAAGAUGAGCAUGCGUCCCAUUAGUUAGUUGGUAAGGUAACGGCUUACCAAGACGAUGAUGGGUAGGGGUCCUGAGAGGGAGAUCCCCCACACUGGUACUGAGACACGGACCAGACUCCUACGGGAGGCAGCAGUGAGGAAUAUUGGUCAAUGGUCGCAAGACUGAACCAGCCAUGCCGCGUGCAGGAAGACGGUCCUAUGGAUUGUAAAAUGCUUUUAUACAGGAAGAAACCCUCCCACGUGUGGGAGCUUGACGGUACUGUAGGAAUAAGGAUCGGCUAACUCCGUG